UACGUAGGGCGCAAGCGUUAUCCGGAAUUAUUGGGCGUAAAGAGCUCGUAGGCGGUUUGUCGCGUCUGCCGUGAAAGUCCGGGGCUCAACUCCGGAUCUGCGGUGGGUACGGGCAGACUAGAGUGAUGUAGGGGAGACUGGAAUUCCUGGUGUAGCGGUGAAAUGCGUAGAUAUCUGGAGGAACACCGGUGGCGAAGGCGGCAUCCUGGACCGGCAUUGACGCUGAGGCGCGAAAGCCAGGGGAGCAAACGGG
RNAcentral lists this ribosomal RNA (253 nucleotides) under uncultured bacterium. Its description in RNAcentral is "partial 16S ribosomal RNA". It matches the Rfam family "Bacterial small subunit ribosomal RNA", at positions 524 to 776 of the family's 1533-position model. The record is from RNAcentral.